Non-coding RNA from Microcebus murinus (gray mouse lemur), 859 nucleotides. The record is from RefSeq and is a predicted model, not a curated record. NCBI's taxonomy places the organism in Eukaryota, Metazoa, Chordata, Mammalia, Primates, Cheirogaleidae.
UUCCAUAGCUAAUGAAAUCAUUUUCUCAUAAAAUAUGGAAACCUGAGACUAAUCCUCUGAAACAAGGUGUCCUAAAAACAUGGCAACACAUUAUUAAAACAUAAAGUAGGGGCCUGGUAACUGUAAUUUGUUAUUUUCCAUUGUACAUUGACUUUUUUCCACCAAAAACAAGCUCUUGUGUAGUCUACUAUGUUUUUUAACGUCCAGUAAAAUAAUUGGAUAUAUAUUUCCUUUUGGAAAUCAUAACUGUAGUCAUUAAGCAGAAAAAUCAAAAGCUCAAGGAUGAUUCUGCACAAAAAAAAAGUUGUUGAGUUAUCAGGUAGUUUCUCAAGACUCCUACAGUAGAUGAGACUACACAAGGACACUUUUAAUCCAAAGGCAGAGAAAACACUAAUAGAGGAGCCAUUCUAGACUUAAUUCUGAAUGCAAAGAAAGAAGCGAUUGGACAUGUGGAAACCUCAGGAAACUUGAGCCAAACUGACUAUAUUAUCCUGGAAUGUGUGAAAUAGAGGAAGAGGACACGAGGCAGAGUCAGGCAUAAGCUGGAGACUUCAGGAAAGUAGAUUUCAAAACAUGAAAAAGAGAAGAAUUAGGGCAUCUUCACUCAAGGAUGCACAAAGAGAAUGAAAUGAUUUGUGAAGAAAGACAGGAAAUGAAAUCUGACUAUAUGCAUUAAACAAUCUCAAUGCCACACAAAAUGUACCCCAAGAACUGUGAUUUCGAGAGUUCUCUCUGAGCACAAAUCAAGCCAAUUAAAAAGGGAUGGGGACACUGGAAGGAGAAACACAAAGCCAAAAUGAAUAGAAGACAGUCAGGUGACUCUGCUCUCACAGUGCCAUAGCAUUCAUAAGGUCCAAUA